GAUGAACGCUGGCGGCGUGCUUAACACAUGCAAGUCGAACGGAAAGGCCCAAGCUUGCUUGGGUACUCGAGUGGCGAACGGGUGAGUAACACGUGGGUGAUCUGCCCUGCACUUCGGGAUAAGCCUGGGAAACUGGGUCUAAUACCGGAUAGGACCACAUUUUGGAUGGUGUGGUGGAAAGUUUUUCGGUGUGGGGUGAGCUCGCGGCCUAUCAGCUUGUUGGUGGGGUAAUGGCCUACCAAGGCGUCGACGGGUAGCCGGCCUGAGAGGGUGUACGGCCACAUUGGGACUGAGAUACGGCCCAGACUCCUACGGGAGGCAGCAGUGGGGAAUAUUGCACAAUGGGCGCAAGCCUGAUGCAGCGACGCCGCGUGGGGGAUGACGGCCUUCGGGUUGUAAACUCCUUUCGCUAGGGACGAAGCGCAAGUGACGGUACCUGGAGAAGAAGCACCGGCUAACUACGUG
RNAcentral lists this ribosomal RNA (465 nucleotides) under uncultured bacterium. Its description in RNAcentral is "partial 16S ribosomal RNA". It matches the Rfam family "Bacterial small subunit ribosomal RNA", at positions 28 to 507 of the family's 1533-position model. The record is from RNAcentral.